GCCUUUGUGGUGUAGUGGUCAGCACGCUCGACGCGUAUUCGAGAGGUCAGUGGUUCGAUUCCCGGCGAGGGCA
RNAcentral lists this transfer RNA (73 nucleotides) under Stegodyphus mimosarum. It matches the Rfam family "tRNA". From Rfam's summary of the family: Transfer RNA (tRNA) molecules are approximately 80 nucleotides in length. The record is from Rfam by way of RNAcentral. Lineage: Eukaryota; Metazoa; Arthropoda; Arachnida; Araneae; Eresidae.